GGGGGGGGGGGGGGGGGGGGGGAGGGGGGGCGAGGCGGGGGGGGAGGCGCGAGGGUGCGGGGGGACACGAGUGGCGAACGGGUGGGUAACACGUGGGGGACCUGCCCUGCACUUCGGGAUAAGCCUGGGAAACUGGGUCUAAUACCGGAUAGGACCAUGGUGUGGAUACUGUGGUGGAAAGGUUUUUCGGUGUGGGAUGGGCCCGCGGCCUAUCAGCUUGUUGGUGGGGUAAUGGCCUACCAAGGCGGCGACGGGUAGCCGGCCUGAGAGGGUGGACGGCCACAUUGGGACUGAGACACGGCCCAGACUCCUACGGGAGGCAGCAGUGGGGAAUAUUGCACAAUGGGCGGAAGCCUGAUGCAGCGACGCCGCGUGGGGGAUGACGGCCUUCGGGUUGUAAACUCCUUUCACCAUCGACGAAGGGUUUCUGACGGUAGAUGGAGAAGAAGCACCGGCUAACUACGUG
Molecule: ribosomal RNA, 466 nt
Filed under: uncultured bacterium
Lineage: Bacteria
Description: partial 16S ribosomal RNA
Rfam family: Bacterial small subunit ribosomal RNA (bases 57-466)
Source: RNAcentral